UUUUUCAAAAACAUUUUUUUAAUUUUUUAUUUAAAGUAAAGCCUGCCCACUGAUAUUUUGAAGGGCCGCGGUAUUUUGACCGUGCUAAGGUAGCAUAAUCAUUAGUCUUUUAAUUAAGGAAUAGAAUGAAUGGCUAAACCUUGAAAUGUUGUGUUGAUAAUAAAAGUUGAAUUUUAAUUUUAAGUGAAAAUUCUUAAAUAAAGAAAAAAGACGAUAAGACCCUUUAGAGCUUUAUUUUUUAAUAAAUAAAGGGUUUAGAAGAAAUCUUAAUUUUAUUUGAAAGUUUAAUUGGGGCAAUUAAAGAAUAAAUAAAACUUCUUAUAAUAAAAUAAAUCUUAAAUUUUAAAAAUUAAAAAGUUACCUAAGGGAUAACAGCGUAAUGAUUUUUGAGAGUCCAAAUCGACAAAAUUGUUUGCGACCUCGAUGUUGAAUUAAAAUGUCUUUUAGGAGCAGUAUUUUUAAAAGAUAGUCUGUUCGACUAUUGAAUUUUUACAUGAUUUGAUUCCCAGACCGGA
This 515-nucleotide ribosomal RNA is filed under the name Drepanura sp. 2 YHD-2019. Its description in RNAcentral is "partial 16S ribosomal RNA". It matches the Rfam family "Bacterial large subunit ribosomal RNA", at positions 1803 to 2620 of the family's 2925-position model. The record is from RNAcentral. Lineage: Eukaryota; Metazoa; Arthropoda; Collembola; Entomobryomorpha; Entomobryidae.